This 497-nucleotide ribosomal RNA is filed under the name uncultured bacterium. RNAcentral describes it as "partial 16S ribosomal RNA". It matches the Rfam family "Bacterial small subunit ribosomal RNA", at positions 28 to 507 of the family's 1533-position model. The record is from RNAcentral.
GAUGAACGCUGGCGGCGUGCCUAAUACAUGCAAGUCGAGCGAACAGACGAGGAGCUUGCUCCUUUGACGUUAGCGGCGGACGGGUGAGUAACACGUGGAUAACCUACCUAUAAGACUGGGAUAACUUCGGGAAACCGGAGCUAAUACCGGAUAACAUGUUGAACCGCAUGGUUCAACAGUGAAAGACGGUCUUGCCGUCACUUAUAGAUGGAUCCGCGCCGCAUUAGCUAGUUGGUAAGGUAACGGCUUACCAAGGCAACGAUGCGUAGCCGACCUGAGAGGGUGAUCGGCCACACUGGAACUGAGACACGGUCCAGACUCCUACGGGAGGCAGCAGUAGGGAAUCUUCCGCAAUGGGCGAAAGCCUGACGGAGCAACGCCGCGUGAGUGAAGAAGGUCUUCGGAUCGUAAAACUCUGUUAUUAGGGAAGAACAAAUGUGUAAGUAACUAUGCACGUCUUGACGGUACCUAAUCAGAAAGCCACGGCUAACUACGUG